Neomonachus schauinslandi (Hawaiian monk seal) is the source of this 226-nucleotide long non-coding RNA. RefSeq lists it as uncharacterized. Lineage: Eukaryota; Metazoa; Chordata; Mammalia; Carnivora; Phocidae. The record is from RefSeq and is a predicted model, not a curated record. The transcript has 3 exons.
CUUUCACCCCAGCACCUGGAGAGAUGCGCAGAUACCAACAAUUACUGAUUGGGCUCCUGCUGGGUACCAAGCAUCCCUACCUGCCCCCGUGCCUGUUCUCUUUAAAAGUUGCAGGACUGUCACAGACUGUCUCCAGAAUAUGCAACAAACUCAUAUUGGUGGCUGUUUCUAGGCAGGGGUCCUGAAGGUGUGUAUAGGGUGGGAGACUGACUUUUUCACUGCUGUU